RNAcentral lists this transfer RNA (77 nucleotides) under Candidatus Thermochlorobacter aerophilus. RNAcentral describes it as "Candidatus Thermochlorobacter aerophilum tRNA-Val". It matches the Rfam family "tRNA". From Rfam's summary of the family: Transfer RNA (tRNA) molecules are approximately 80 nucleotides in length. The record is from RNAcentral. Lineage: Bacteria; Pseudomonadati; Chlorobiota; Chlorobiia; Chlorobiales; Candidatus Thermochlorobacteriaceae.
GGGCUUUUAGCUCAGUUGGUUAGAGCGACUGGUUUACACCCAGUAGGUCGGGGGUUCGAGUCCCUCAGAGCCCACUA